AUACCAUGCUGUGGAAAUAACAACGGGAUUUUGGCUACGUUAAAUCGUCACGUGAUCGCUUCAAGCGACCUCUGAUCUGAAAAAAAAAUUGAAAGCGCGCCAAAAAAAAAAAAAAAACCAGUUUUCGUGACCCUGGCCUGUUGUGCCACUCGAUUCAUCAGUCCAUCAGCUAAAUUCCGAAUGUUUCAAGAUGUACCCACGUCAAAGCUAACAAUUUCCUAGGAUUGUUUAAUAUGUCAUCAGUUAUCUUCAGAAAAGGGUCCGCACCAUAAUCCAGCAACUCUCUAACAAUGUCUUCAUGUCCCUUGUAUGACGCCCACACCAGAGGAGACCAGCCCCCCUACAAUUAUUGGUGAUGUCCAGUUAGCCACAGGAGGAUAUUAUCAGAAGAACUUGAGAGAUGAGAAGAUAGACUGUGGCUGUUGCUGUCGUCGCAAGCAUAAUGGGAAAUCCAAUUCUACAACAAAACAAAAAUAACAGUUUAUCAUGUUAGUCAGCUGCAAGAGUUGUACAUGGCCCCGCAUGGUGUUUCGGAAGAUUCUGCAUGUGUGCCUCACCUCCUAAGCAGGAACCCAUGGC
This is a long non-coding RNA of Orbicella faveolata, 579 nucleotides long. NCBI's taxonomy places the organism in Eukaryota, Metazoa, Cnidaria, Anthozoa, Scleractinia, Merulinidae. The record is from RefSeq and is a predicted model, not a curated record.